GUUCCACAGCAGUACUGGCAAAAUAUUCUGUGAACAGAUGAAACCAAAGUUGAGUUGUUUGGAAGAAACAUACAACACCAUGUGUGGCGAAAAAAAGGCACAGCACACCAACCUCAAAACCUCAUCCCAACUGUAAAGUAUGGUGGUGGGGCAUAAUGGUUUUGGGCUGCUUUGCUGCGUCAGGGCCUGGACGGAUUGCUAUCAUCGAAGGAAAAAUGAAUUCCCAAGUUUAUCAAGAC
This is a non-coding RNA of Pelobates cultripes (western spadefoot toad), 239 nucleotides long. Lineage: Eukaryota; Metazoa; Chordata; Amphibia; Anura; Pelobatidae. The record is from the annotation of a GenBank genome assembly.